This 896-nucleotide ribosomal RNA is filed under the name uncultured bacterium. Its description in RNAcentral is "bacterial SSU rRNA". It matches the Rfam family "Bacterial small subunit ribosomal RNA", at positions 60 to 973 of the family's 1533-position model. The record is from RNAcentral.
AGUCGAGUGCGCGGUUGUAGCAAUACAACUGGCGCACGGCGCACGGGUGCGUAACACGUGGGUAACCUGCCCUUUGAUGGGGAAUAACCCCGCGAAAGCGGGGCUAAUACCGCAUAAGAUCCGCAAGGAUGAAAGCCGUAAGGCGUCGAAGGAGGGGCCCGCGCACGAUUAGCUAGUUGGUAGGGUAACGGCCUACCAAGGCUUUGAUCGUUAGCUGGUCUGAGAGGAUGGCCAGCCACACUGGAACUGAGACACGGUCCAGACUCCUACGGGAGGCAGCAGUGGGGAAUCUUGCACAAUGGGCGAAAGCCUGAUGCAGCGACGCCGCGUGGGGGAUGAAGCUUCUCGGAGUGUAAACCCCUUUCGACCCGGACGAAUGCCCCGCAAGGGGACUGACGGUACGGGUAUAAGAAGCCCCGGCUAACUACGUGCCAGCAGCCGCGGUAAGACGUAGGGGGCCAGCGUUGUUCGGAAUUACUGGGUGUAAAGGGUUCGUAGGCGGUGUGGCAAGUCGGGAGUGAAAUCUCUGGGCUCAACUCAGAGUCUGCUUCCGAAACUGCUGUGCUGGAGUGUGGGAGAGGCGCGUGGAAUUGCAGGUGUAGCGGUGAAAUGCGUAGAUAUCUGCAGGAACACCCGUGGCGAAAGCGGCGCGCUGGACCACUACUGACGCUGAGGAACGAAAGCUAGGGGAGCAAACAGGAUUAGAUACCCUGGUAGUCCUAGCCCUAAACGAUCAGGACUUGGGGUGCCACCCGCUCGGGUGUCGUCCCGGAGCUAACGCGUUAAGUCCUGCACCUGGGGAGUACGGUCGCAAGACUGAAACUCAAAGGAAUUGACGGGGGCCCGCACAAGCGGUGGAACACGUGGUUCAAUUCGACGCUACGCGAGGAACCUUA